UACGUAGGGUGCGAGCGUUGUCCGGAUUUAUUGGGCGUAAAGCGAGCGCAGGCGGUUCCUUAAGUCUGAUGUGAAAGCCCCCGGCUCAACCUGGGAAGGUCAUUGGAAACUGGGGAGCUUGAGUGCAGAAGAGGAGAGUGGAAUUCCAUGUGUAGCGGUGAAAUGCGUAGAUAUAUGGAGGAACACCAGUGGCGAAGGCGACUCUCUGGUCUUUAACUGACGCUCAGGCUCGAAAGCGUGGGGAGCAAACAGG
Molecule: ribosomal RNA, 253 nt
Filed under: uncultured bacterium
Lineage: Bacteria
Description: partial 16S ribosomal RNA
Rfam family: Bacterial small subunit ribosomal RNA
Source: RNAcentral